UGGGGAAUUUUGGACAAUGGGCGAAAGCCUGAUCCAGCAAUGCCGCGUGUGUGAAGAAGGCCUUCGGGUUGUAAAGCACUUUUGUCCGGAAAGAAAUCCUCUGGGUUAAUACCUCGGGGGGAUGACGGUACCGGAAGAAUAAGCACCGGCUAACUACGUGCCAGCAGCCGCGGUAAUACGUAGGGUGCAAGCGUUAAUCGGAAUUACUGGGCGUAAAGUGUGCGCAGGCGGUUUUGUAAGACGGAUGUGAAAUCCCCGGGCUUAACCUGGGAACUGCAUUCGUGACUGCAAGGCUAGAGUAUGGCAGAGGGGGGUAGAAUUCCACGUGUAGCAGUGAAAUGCGUAGAGAUGUGGAGGAAUACCGAUGGCGAAGGCAGCCCCCUGGGCCAAUACUGACGCUCAUGCACGAAAGCGUGGGGAGCAAACAGGAUUCAGAUACCCUGGUAGUCCACGCCCUAAACGAUGUCAACUAGUUGUUGGGGAUUCAUUUCCUUAGUAACGUAGCUAACGCGUGAAGUUGACCGCCUGGGGAGUACGGUCGCAAGAUUAAACUCAAAUGAAUUGACGGGGUCAUAGCUGUUUCCU
Molecule: ribosomal RNA, 585 nt
Filed under: uncultured bacterium
Lineage: Bacteria
Description: partial 16S ribosomal RNA
Rfam family: Bacterial small subunit ribosomal RNA
Source: RNAcentral